ACUCAAAGGAAUUGACGGGGACCCGCACAAGCGGUGGAUUAUGGGGUUUAAUUCGACGAUACGCGAAGAACCUUACCCAGGCUUGACAUCCUAGGAAUCCGCUGGAAACAGUGGAGUGCCUUCGGGAGCCUAGUGACAGGUGCUGCAUGGCCGUCGUCAGCUCGUGUCGUGAGAUGUUGGGUUAAGUCCCGCAACGAGCGCAACCCUUAUGAUUUGUUGUAUUUUUCAAAUCAGACUGCCCGGGCCAACCGGGAGGAAGGUGGGGAUAACGUCAGGUCAGCAUGGCCCUUACGCCUGGGGCUACACCCGUAAUACAAUGGCCGGUACAACGAGUUGCCAAAGCGCAAGCUGGAGCUAAUCUCAUCAAAACCGGUCCCAGUUCGGAUUGGAGGCUGCAACUCGCCUCCAUGAAGUCGGAAUCGCUAGUAAACGUGGGUCAGCAUACCACGUUGAAUACGUUCCCGGGUCUUGUACACACCGCCCGU
Molecule: ribosomal RNA, 485 nt
Filed under: uncultured bacterium
Lineage: Bacteria
Description: partial 16S ribosomal RNA
Rfam family: Bacterial small subunit ribosomal RNA
Source: RNAcentral